GACGUUAGGUCAUGGCUCGGAAUGCAUGCCGCCGGCGAUGCCUAACGCAAACAAGUCGUACGAGUCACUCCGGGCUUGCUCGGGGACGUAAAGUGGCGCACGGGUGAGUAACGCGUGGGUAAUCUACCCUGUUUUAGUGGGGGAUAACCCUCCGAAAGGAGGGCUAAUACCGCAUAAUAUCUUCACUUCUAAAAGAAGAGAAGAUUAAAGAUGGCCUCUAUACUAUGCUAUCGCUUCAGGAUGAGCCUGCGUCCUAUUAGUUAGUUGGUGGGGUAAUGGCCUACCAAGACCACAAUGGGUAGCCGGUCUGAGAGGAUGUACGGCCACACUGGGACUGAGAUACGGCCCAGACUCCUACGGGAGGCAGC
This 368-nucleotide ribosomal RNA is filed under the name uncultured bacterium. RNAcentral's name for it is "bacterial SSU rRNA". It matches the Rfam family "Bacterial small subunit ribosomal RNA", at positions 9 to 352 of the family's 1533-position model. The record is from RNAcentral.